Oncorhynchus tshawytscha (Chinook salmon) is the source of this 5769-nucleotide long non-coding RNA. The record is from Ensembl. Lineage: Eukaryota; Metazoa; Chordata; Actinopteri; Salmoniformes; Salmonidae.
GAGCAGAGGGGAGGAAGAUGGCACCUGUGUUUCUGUUCCGGUGCUGGAUCCAGUAUGAUGGUGAUAGAAGAGGAACAAGGAUCUGAACUCUACAGCCCAGCAGGGUCUCUGAGGACUGUAUGAACACAGUGACAGGAGUAUCGGCGGAGUGAAUGACAGAAGGGGGAGGCUGAAGAGCUGACUGUCAGACUCACUCAGAUACCAAUGUGCAAUUCUGGAUCACUCUGACACUCAUCUGAUAUUAGGUGACGGGACAAAAUAGAAGGAGAGUGGAAGAUGAGAACUACAUCUCCCAAACAUGUAGUGAACUGAUAAAAGGGGUUCAUGGCCCCAAAACACUAACCUCAGGUUUACCCUGAGAUAUGUUGAGUGUUUGGAAGCUGUGUGUUGACUAGAUGAUGCAGCAGAUUUUGAGGGACAUGUACAUCGAUCUGGAAUUGCUGGCAGAGCUCAACGAGGAGCAGAAGCAGAUCAUGUUCUAUAAGGAGCAGGAAAGGCACUGGGAUGAGAGGGAGAACCAGAACCAGGACCAGGCCAAGUAGGGCAGCAUGAGAAGUAUCCAGUAGCUGCAGGGCAGUGAUGGGGAUGUGUGUGGGUGAUGGGCGACGCCCCUGGAGAUGAGCCUUAUGAUGACAUCAUUAAGGAGCUGAUGGGGGGAGAAAGCCAGACGGCAGAUUCAGCAGGAGGCCAAGGAGCUCUGGUGACUGGGGAGGAGAAAGGAUGCCCACAUAACCCAGUGCAGGGAUUUGAAUGCCAAAGAAACGCGAGGAGGAGGAGAGACAUCAAGGUGAGGAGGACAUAAAACGUGCAGAGGAGAAGAGAGCGAGGGAGCUGUAUAUCUCCCUAGAGCAGGAACAAAGGAGUGAGAAUGAUGAGAAGGAAUGGGAGGCGCAACGUAAGUCAAGUCUUCCCUGCCUUUUCUCUCUACACCUGUUUUCCUUUCCAUUGAUCACCUCCUUCUCCAUCCCUCAUUUUUACAUGAACCUCUUUUAUUAAUUUCUGUCCCUCCCUAAAUGCCAACUCCAAAACUUUUGUUGCUAAUCCUCAAACUUUCCUACACCUGAAAACAUUAAAUGACCCCGGCAAUCGAUAGAACAUCACUCAUGGAUGCACAAAUAAUAUAUAACAUUCAUAAUUGGUGAAUCCAGUCUCCUUUUUACCUCAUUUAACCCCUGAUUUACAUAACAAAAGUCACAUCUCAAUAGGUGGUUCAGAUAAGUCAUGACAUACCACAAGUGGAGGGCUGGGCCUUUCCUUGUUUGUUCUUUAUUGUUUCUCAAGCAAGGGGGGGAGGCCGAUGACAUUACAACUUCCCAUCAAACCAACUAUUUGAAAGCCCUACUCGUUGAAGUAUGCAGUUGUGUUUAAAAAACACAAUCCUGCUUUAUUUGAAGUACGUGUUAUGAAGGCUUCAUAAAGCAUUCAUAUAUGUUUUGUAACCACUACAUUAAUGGCUCACAAAUCAUCUACAACCUUUUUUCAUGCUCUAUAAAGGAUCAAAACAUGUGAACAAAUAAAUUAGAUGGUUAUGUCACAUAGUUAUGCCACAUUAUGAAUCAUUCUAGAGCAUGAAAUACGGUUACAGAUGAUUUAUGACCCAUGUAUCUACUGCUUAUAAAGCCUUCAUAAGUUGUAGGCACGUGUCGCGUACAACCUGGCAGUCCCUGUGGGCAAUAGAGAAGGGCCGUGUGGCGGUACCUCCCUCAGGAGACAGCACUGUGCUAGAGUCAUCCUCCUCGACCACCCACAGCACAGAGCGUACCCACUGCCCCAGCCUCCAGCCUGCUGCUCCUCCGCUGUACCGCCGCGGACAGUGCCCGAAGACACAGCCUCACUGUUUCACAGCCACUGACGUACAGGACAGUUACAGAAUUGGCCUACUAUUCAUGAAUAUGUACACGGAUAGACAUAGCAUAAUUACUAUGCGGCACCCAAUCCAUAUACAGAUAAGAUGCAUAGAAUGGUGAUGUAAAAAAAAGUGUAUAAUAUAUAUCGAGAGAUACACAGAAGCAGACCCAAUAGACCCGCAAGGCUUUUUUUGUGCCUGGAACUCAUCUAAAGCAUGAUGCACCUUUAUCACGUCACCAUUAAAAGGCUUUGGGCAAUCUUAUAUAUUAUGUAUUUAUUUCUUAUUAUAAUAUCAUGUGAUUAUGCAUGCUUCACUUCUCUAUCUUCUCCUGUCUCGCCUGGGUGAGAGCCCCCCGGCUCAGCUCCAGAGAAUGUGUUCUGCUAUGGUUCGAAGAGGAGCAAAUGCCCAAACAGGCUGGCUAUGAGUGCAAUAGCACCACCACUACUGGUUCCAGGGUCAGUACUGGGAUGUUGUCUCGACCAAACAUGGAUCCCUCCUAGCUUCCCCUCUUGCACCAAACUACUUCUCUUCACUACUAUUACCACAUGCAAACUAUCUAACUCAAAAGUAUUCCUCAUGAAAGGAGCAUUGAAAAAAAGUGAGUCUGUUCGUGCAUGCUAGUGUGUGUGGCUGGAUUUUCAGUACAUCAGGGAUCUUUUCAUAUCACAACUGAUGUAGCAACAAAUCACAUACACGGCUGACCUGCGUUAUCUUCAAUAAUACUGCUGUAACCAUGGAAACAUGAUAUGCGGAGGCUGACAGAACUGAAUGUUUGAACUGUGUGUGAAUGUGUGACAUUAGUUAUAUGCUAAUUUGAAAAGGAGGAUCUUGGUCUUGGAGGAGGAUCUUGCAUCUUGGUUUGCAAGAAUUCAUAUGUCUCUUUGACAUUACACAUACAGUAUAACAUUGUGUACAAAUACAGAUAAAAAGCAUCUGGAGACUGCCGGGGGGAGGAUGCUGAUAAACAGUGUGAAUAUAAUUCACCACAGAUCACCACAUUGAAUCUGGAAAAUCGUAACAUAAAACCAUCCAAUUACUGUAGAGCUACAUAACAUGCAUGCAGCGUACAACAACAGACAAAACAACAGCUGUUGAUAAGGAUGUAUAGCACAAGCAUAUCUAAGACCAGGCAGCUGUAGGCUAUGUACUGAUGACCUGUCUGUCUUUCUUUAGGAAGAGAUGAUCACCACAUCAGGAGAGCUUCAGCAGAAGGCAUGCAAACAGACAGACUCAGCCACGGACUAUGGGAAAUCUUCCAAUGACCCCCUCAACACCUUGUCAGUUCACUAUGAACCCCUUUGUGCUCCCUGAGAUGUCACUUUGACCUCACCCCCUUGGAUUCACACAGAGGGAGCUCAGGAGCUCCGAUUUCUCCAGGCGUGGAGCUAUGUCUUCCGACUCCUUCAGACGCCUUGGAUUCACACAUAGGGAGCUCAAGGGCUCUUCAGACUCCAACCGGACCACAGGACUGUCCAUAGACAUCCAUUCCCCCAGUAGCAUCUCACAUGCCUCACCCCCAGCUGUAUAGCAGUGAGGACUGUAUAACACAAAAGAUGAGUGAGCCAUUGAGAUAUAUAUCAUUUCUGCUUCGGGAGUUACACAAAUGAUUAGCAACAGUGCGAUUCAGGACAAGAUCCAGCUUUUAGGGAAAGAGCAGACUUGUGUACACAGGUAAGCAGACAGACACCCAGACACCAGAGGCAACAGGGAACAGAUGUGGAUUGAUAAAAGUGUCUAGCAUCUGUCAAAUACUCCAACUGACACAAUUUAUUUUUGAAUGCUAAGAUUAUCACUUUGUUCCUUAAGCAAAUUUAUGGUAAGAUGCUAAACACAAUUAGGCAAAACAAAGGUCUCAGGGAGUACUACAGCUUUAAAGUAGAGUCAUAGAGAACAUUGAACUUGUUUUUGUGCACUCAUCCCUAUAGGGAAUCUGUUGUCAUCCUGAUAGGGCUUUGUUCCUGGGCCAGACUGCAGUUGAAAGAGAGCAUUUGCAAAGAAAUCAAACUACGUAUAUCGAAUGAAUGCACAUCCUCCUCCCAUAGGUUAAAGCUACUAUGAGAAGGAAUUAAUCAUAAUGCAAACAGUGCAAUUAUUCACUGAGAUCCACCUUGAAUGAAUCUCUUGAAUGAAUGGUGCAAGUGCCCUCCUGUUCAGGAUAUAAGACUAUUGCUGCAGUAGCACUGACAGCUUUUUCCAUGCAACUGGUCCAGAGUGGGUAACCAGAGCUCCUCUUUUCCAACAGCCAGUAUCAUUCAGCAGUUAAGACAGCCAAUAGUUUUGUUAACAUCAGCACACACCCCCACGCACCCCAAAAACACACACAGACACACAUUCAAUCAUAAGCUCAGGUUUCCACAACACUGUAAAGAAUGCAUUCCUGGCUAGUAGAGAUGUGCUGCUGUAGUAAGCAGCAUGAGGGAUUGUUGUGUGGCAGGCAGCUCGAUUUGUCCAGCUUUAGGUAUCAUUUACUGGCAGUAGACCCAGCAUGAGUCAGUGAGCCAGGCAGUCAGUCUGUUUAGAGCAGCCAGUAGUCAGCCACAGCCACACAGCCAUUAAGUUACAUUAAAGUAUCACUCUGAACAUCAACCUCAUCAAAAACACCUCUCGCCAGGUCGUAAAUUGUAUGCAGCAGAGGACAUUUUUUUUACCCUUUAGUAUUGGUGAUUGGAAUGUAGCUUUGUUACAGAGACUUUUGCUGCCCAAAAACGUUUUAGUCCAAAAGUGAACACUGGAACAAUAUUCCUAACAUCCAAAUGUGGGGAAUGAUGAGAGAUGGUCUAUGGAAAACAAAUGUAUAUUUUGUGAUGUCAUUAAAAAUUAUAAUGAAAAUAUUGUAACUUGAACAGUAUACACAUUGUAUAUAUAUCAGGUUUUCAUCCUUUACGUUGUGAAGGAAAUAUCAAAGAUAAUGAGAGUAUUUUUGAGGAAGAGAGGAAUGUGAUUUUAGUUUUCUAGCGAGAUCAUAGUUUUGAUGAUACUUUGCCCCAGUAAGUAGCCAGGCCCGAGGGAGCUCAGAGUGUGUCAGCAUGACGGAAUCGCCCCCUUUUUACCAGAGUGUAUAAAGGAUGAGUUGAGACUCAAGCUGCAGCUUAGGUCUCCAUUGUUUACAACCCUGAAAAUCAACACAAGGUGAAGACGAUAAAGUAGCCUUUCUAACAAUCAAUGUUACGGCUGAGUAUCUGUUCUAAGUACCGUAUCUAAGAAAGUGAAUUUAAGUAGGACCAUCCUGUUACUCUCUUCAAACCAUUGUUGACUGCACUGCCCUCAUCACCCCACUGGGGAUCAUCGACAUCUGAUUAGCUGUAUUUAGAGGACCACUCUUCCAGAAUGAGUGAAAGCAAACACCACCCUGUUAGUUCUGCAUCAGACUACAGGACAAGGCAUUGAAGCCACGGCCAACUAAGAAGAAGGACAUUGUGACUUCUUGUGGUCAAUCAGAGCCUUACACUUAAGAGCUCGGGAGAAGGCCCAACUGAACCCUUUUCACAAAGGCCUCGGUCCAACAGAGAUAAAUGACGUUAAGAAGUCAUUUAAACACAUAAAUACAUUCAUUAUUUCGUACACCAAAUGGUCAGCGGUUCUUGGGCUAAGUAUUAGAAUUACUGUGAGCAUAGUUACAAGUGUUGUCACUCUUUCUUUCUCCCGUUUCCCCUCUCUACUCCUCCCUCUUUUGAUAUACAAGCAGUCAUGUUGCUUUUAGUCUGCUAGGGACCUGUUUCCAUCGUAUUAAGUUGCUAAUCAAUAACCUAUACCGAGUGUGUGUAUCCUGUGUUAUUAUUUAGUUAGUCAGUAAAUACAUCGUUAAAUACAUUUUUGUGGUACGGAAUGAUCAGUAAAGCUGGGGUUUGUCCAGAUAUGAGGAGUAUGCAAAGUUCAGAAUUAUGAGAAAGAUAUGAGGUAAUAAUUGUAAUAAAUUACUG